This 76-nucleotide transfer RNA is filed under the name Gammaproteobacteria bacterium. RNAcentral's name for it is "tRNA-Phe". It matches the Rfam family "tRNA". From Rfam's summary of the family: Transfer RNA (tRNA) molecules are approximately 80 nucleotides in length. Their secondary structure includes four short double-helical elements and three loops (D, anti-codon, and T loops). Further hydrogen bonds mediate the characteristic L-shaped molecular structure. tRNAs have two regions of fundamental functional importance: the anti-codon, which is responsible for specific mRNA codon recognition, and the 3' end, to which the tRNAs corresponding amino acid is attached (by aminoacyl-tRNA synthetases). tRNAs cope with the degeneracy of the genetic code in two manners: having more than one tRNA (with a specific anti-codon) for a particular amino acid; and 'wobble' base-pairing, i.e. permitting non-standard base-pairing at the 3rd anti-codon position. The record is from RNAcentral. Lineage: Bacteria; Pseudomonadati; Pseudomonadota; Gammaproteobacteria. RNAcentral also lists the same sequence under 2 other names.
GCCCGGAUAGCUCAGUCGGUAGAGCAGAGGACUGAAAAUCCUCGUGUCGGUGGUUCGAUUCCGCCUCCGGGCACCA